GAAAUGCGAUAAGUAGUGUGAAUUGCAGAAUUCAGUGAAUCAUCGAAUCUUUGAACGCACAUUGCGCCCUUUGGUAUUCCAAAGGGCAUGCCUGUUCGAGCGUCAUUUGUACCCUCAAGCUUUGCUUGGUGUUGGGCGUCUUGUCUCUAGCUUUGCUGGAGACUCGCCUUAAAGUAAUUGGCAGCCGGCCUACUGGUUUUGGAGCGCAGCACAAGUCGCACUCUCUAUCAGCAAAGGUCUAGCAUCCAUUAAGCCUUUUUUCAACUUUUGACCUCGGAUCAGGUAGGGAUACCCGCUGAACUUAAGC
RNAcentral lists this unclassified non-coding RNA (307 nucleotides) under plant metagenome. RNAcentral's name for it is "partial contains 5.8S ribosomal RNA, internal transcribed spacer 2, and large subunit ribosomal RNA". The stretch from base 1 to 105 matches the Rfam family "5.8S ribosomal RNA", at positions 50 to 154 of the family's 154-position model. The record is from RNAcentral.